Long non-coding RNA from Rosa rugosa (rugosa rose), 449 nucleotides. RefSeq lists it as uncharacterized. The record is from RefSeq and is a predicted model, not a curated record. Lineage: Eukaryota; Viridiplantae; Streptophyta; Magnoliopsida; Rosales; Rosaceae. The transcript is spliced from 3 exons.
CUCUUCCUCCAUCACACUCUCACACAGGUACAUCGCACAUAGAUCGAACUCCAAUAUGACCAGAUCAAACACCGAUCAAGACACCAAACGGUUCCAUAUGGAAGUCGUCAUCACCGGCGCUAUCAACAAGUGAUGGGUUCGUCAACACCGUCUUCUAGAUCCAAACCAUUCUCGGCCGAAGCUUAGUUCGGGUACAGGGCCGACGAGAUCGGAAGAGUUCGACAUCCCCGAUGAAUAUCUUCGUAGAAAGACAACUAUAGUAAGGAGUAACUUGAAUCCAGUCUCGAAUGAGGAGCUCAUGUUGUCUGUUCCUUGGCGAUAUGGAGAAUUGAAGGCAUGGAGCUUUAUAGUUGACUUGGAUCUAGUGACCUCAAGGAUAUGAUUUGCAAGCAGAUCAGAAAUCAAAGCAUGUGCUUGUCUUCACUGCAGGUAUCUACAACUUGAAAAUA